The submitters of this non-coding RNA (95 nucleotides) gave its source as unclassified sequences. The record is from Rfam.
AGAUCGGGAGGCACUCUACGGGAAUGGUGCCGGGAAUUGAUCGAACUUGUGCUGUCUCAUUGGGGAACGCGACCGGUGCCCGACGGUUUCGUGUU